GAUGAAGAACGCAGCGAAAUGCGAUAAGUAAUGUGAAUUGCAGAAUUCAGUGAAUCACCGAAUCUUUGAACGCACAUUGCGCCCGCCAGCAUUCUGGCGGGCAUGCCUGUUCGAGCGUCAUUUCAACCCUCGACUUCCCUUUGGGGAAAUCGGCGUUGGGGACCGGCUGUAUACCGCCGGCCCCGAAAUGAAGUGGCGGCCCGUCCGCGGCGACCUCUGCGUAGUAAUCCAACUCGCACCGGAACCCCGACGUGGCCACGCCGUAAAACCCCCGACUUCUGAACGUUGACCUCGGAUCAGGUAGGAAUACCCGCUGAACUUAAGCAUAUCAAUAAGCGGAGGA
Molecule: unclassified non-coding RNA, 343 nt
Filed under: soil metagenome
Description: partial contains 5.8S ribosomal RNA, internal transcribed spacer 2, and large subunit ribosomal RNA
Rfam family: 5.8S ribosomal RNA (bases 1-120)
Source: RNAcentral